CAUGACCUAGAGAUGCUUCAAAGUCAU
This 27-nucleotide non-coding RNA is filed under the name Rattus norvegicus (Norway rat). Lineage: Eukaryota; Metazoa; Chordata; Mammalia; Rodentia; Muridae. The record is from RNAcentral.